This 107-nucleotide small nucleolar RNA is filed under the name Vitis vinifera (wine grape). RNAcentral's name for it is "Plant small nucleolar RNA R71". It matches the Rfam family "Plant small nucleolar RNA R71". Rfam says of the family: R71 is a member of the C/D box family of snoRNAs containing the C (UGAUGA) and D (CUGA) box motifs. Multiple nearly identical copies of this snoRNA have been identified in Arabidopsis, and it is thought to function as a 2'-O-ribose methylation guide for 18S ribosomal RNA. Lineage: Eukaryota; Viridiplantae; Streptophyta; Magnoliopsida; Vitales; Vitaceae. The record is from Rfam by way of RNAcentral.
AAGUCAUGGUGAGGACAAGCAUUAAUAGCUUCCAUGUACCUCUCCCAACACUCAUAAAAUUUCUCAUUCUCUUUAGCUGAGAAGUUCGAAAUUUUCUUUUUCAAACC